RNAcentral lists this ribosomal RNA (186 nucleotides) under uncultured Comamonas sp. Its description in RNAcentral is "partial 16S ribosomal RNA". It matches the Rfam family "Bacterial small subunit ribosomal RNA", at positions 342 to 520 of the family's 1533-position model. Lineage: Bacteria; Pseudomonadati; Pseudomonadota; Betaproteobacteria; Burkholderiales; Comamonadaceae. The record is from RNAcentral.
GGGGAGGCAGCAGUGGGGAAUUUUGGACAAUGGGCGAAAGCCUGAUCCAGCAAUGCCGCGUGCAGGAUGAAGGCCCUCGGGUUGUAAACUGCUUUUGUACGGAACGAAAAGCCUGGGGCCAAUACCCCCGGGUCAUGACGGUACCGUAAGAAUAAGCACCGGCUAACUACGUGCCAGCAGCCGCGG